This 484-nucleotide ribosomal RNA is filed under the name uncultured bacterium. Its description in RNAcentral is "partial 16S ribosomal RNA". It matches the Rfam family "Bacterial small subunit ribosomal RNA", at positions 29 to 507 of the family's 1533-position model. The record is from RNAcentral.
AUUGAACGCUGGCGGCAUGCUUUACACAUGCAAGUCGAACGGCAGCGCGGGCUUCGGCCUGGCGGCGAGUGGCGAACGGGUGAGUAAUGCAUCGGAACGUGCCCAGUAGUGGGGGAUAGCCCGGCGAAAGCCGGAUUAAUACCGCAUACGACCUGAGGGUGAAAGCGGGGGACCGAAAGGCCUCGCGCUAUUGGAGCGGCCGAUGUCGGAUUAGCUAGUUGGUGGGGUAAAGGCUUACCAAGGCGACGAUCCGUAGCUGGUCUGAGAGGACGACCAGCCACACUGGGACUGAGACACGGCCCAGACUCCUACGGGAGGCAGCAGUGGGGAAUUUUGGACAAUGGGGGCAACCCUGAUCCAGCCAUGCCGCGUGCGGGAAGAAGGCCUUCGGGUUGUAAACCGCUUUUGUUCGGGAAGAAAUCCUCUGGGCUAAUACCCCGGGGGGAUGACGGUACCGGAAGAAUAAGCACCGGCUAACUACAUG